Molecule: non-coding RNA, 819 nt
Organism: Erythranthe guttata (spotted monkey flower)
Lineage: Eukaryota; Viridiplantae; Streptophyta; Magnoliopsida; Lamiales; Phrymaceae
Source: RefSeq, a predicted model, not a curated record
UGUGCUUUUAGAGAGAAUGAUUAAGCAAUUGUUUCCUGAAUUAGAAUCCCAAAAUUGGCCUCCAACUUUGGUUCAGUCUAUUUGGAAAACUGUUUGGGAAAUAAAAACUGCUUGUCUUAGAGAAGGGGUUUUUGGACACCUUGUAAUGAGCAGCUUCUAAAUGCAUUGCCGCCCAAGAGUCACACUGCAAGGGUUGCUUUCGUUUCCCCAAAAUUCGUAUCGCCGGAAAAGAUGGCAUGUGUUGUUCAUCUUGCAGGUACGGGGAUCAUACAUUUGACCGAAGGUUACGUCUUGGUGGACCUCUGCUGAAGGAAAACAUAGCAAUAAUGGUGCUACAGAGGUGAAAUUAAUCUAAACGAAGUAGGUGUUGUAAAUGCAGAAUGGGGCUUGAUACAUCCAUUAUGGGAGUUCAGCAAGAAAGGAAGAAAAUAAAGGUUACCCUUCCCUCAAUUCUGGGUGUGUUGGACGGUAUAUGUCUUUGGUUCUCAUUUUCAGUUCUUAGCUAUUUAGAUGCUCAUAUGGAUUUGGUGGAUUGUGCUCUUGGCCAGCCGUGCAUCUUUCGGUGAAUUACCUCAUUGUUGUGGAACAGGGUUUGAGUGGGUGCAUGCUUAAUUGGCAACGUCAAGAGUGCAUCAUCGGUGCUGCCAGACGUAUGUCGGGAGGUUCUUAAACUUUUAUGGCAUUAUUGUAUGGAUUUUGAUGCCCAUGUACAUUUGUUUAUGCAGUAUGUGGAAAUUUUCAUUUCCGCCUUCUGACGAUGUUUUAGCUCGCUCUUUUAUCUAACUGAACCUGCGUUCUUCUUGAUUCUUGACAUGACAA